UUUAAAAUCAAAUAAAUGCAGGCUUGGUGAGCAGAAGAGAAUUCUUUAAAAUCUUUUAAAUAUAUAUAUAUAUAUAUAUAUAUAUAUAUAUAUAUAUAUAUAUACACACACUUAAAAAAUAUAUGGUAGUUUUCUUUUGUGAUAGUAAUGUAAAAUGACUGUUUUAUAAAUUGUAAAGUAUUCCAAUGUUUUCCCUUCUAAAGAUCCUCUUGGAAAUAAUAAUUCUAUGCAGACACAGAAGAGCAAAAAUUAUGUCACAAUGAUCACUUCUUAGACGUCGACCCUCCAGAUCACAGCAGAUUGUGGAGACUGUCAUUGUUUUGCUGUAAAGUUCUGCUCUGUUUGGGUGAGAUGCAACAAGCUGAGAAGCUGCUACUGCAAGCAGAUCAAAUUUUAAAGGUAAAAAUAAUUAACGACACUGAUAUUUUGAUAUAUGAUUAGUUCUAAUAAUUGACUGAAAUUGCAUGCAUUCAAAAAAUGAUCAUAUGCAAGGUUUCAUUCACUUAUAAUCUGUUUUGAUGGUUUCCUCCACAGGAAGUGGAGCUAGAUAGUGACAGUAUGAGGUUACUGCUCAAAGUGCCACAUAUGCUGGCAGAGCUUUACCUCCAAAUGCAUCUGCCAAAAGACAGAGAUGUAUUGCCACAAGGGACUUGAGACAGCCCGGUCUUUUGCAGUAGCCCACCUUGCCAGCUCAGAGGUCAGACUGAUAGUUGGUAAAGUGUUGCUGUGUAGCUGCAGUAGAGUGGACAGGAGAGAAGGGCAGGAUCUGCUCCAGAAAGCUGCAGACAUAAGGAUUCACCUCCUGGGCCCUGAGCACCCACUGACCCGAGACCUGGAGCCGUGAGCUCGGUUUCACUAUGAUAUUGUAUUGUAAUCACACAGAUGCCCGCUAAAUUCAUUUUAAUCUGAUCUCUUCUGCAAUGUUUCAAACCCUGAUAUUUCAGGAAAGAGGAAGCAUGGUCUAGAGGUCAUCGGGUCCACCUCAAACAAUAAACUGUCAGUAGGUAGGUCUACA
Cyprinus carpio (common carp) is the source of this 1015-nucleotide long non-coding RNA. NCBI's taxonomy places the organism in Eukaryota, Metazoa, Chordata, Actinopteri, Cypriniformes, Cyprinidae. The record is from Ensembl.